UAUCCGUAGGUGAACCUGCGGAGGGAUCAUUACAGAGUUCUCGCCCUCGCGGGUAGAUCUCCCACCCACUGUUAUCGUUACUGUCGUUUCUUUGGCGGGCCUCCGGGUCCCCGGCCGCCUGCGUCGAAUAGGCGGCGCGCGCCCGCCAGAGGCAUUCUAACCCUGAAUGUUAGUGUCGUCUGAGUACUAUAUAAUAGUUAAAACUUUCAACAACGGAUCUCUUGGUUCUG
RNAcentral lists this unclassified non-coding RNA (230 nucleotides) under plant metagenome. Its description in RNAcentral is "partial contains small subunit ribosomal RNA, internal transcribed spacer 1, and 5.8S ribosomal RNA". The record is from RNAcentral.